This 429-nucleotide long non-coding RNA is filed under the name Trifolium pratense (red clover). RNAcentral describes it as "long non-coding RNA (TPRA_LNC001927)". The record is from RNAcentral. Lineage: Eukaryota; Viridiplantae; Streptophyta; Magnoliopsida; Fabales; Fabaceae.
GAAUGGGGUUUUGAAAACUGGCAUGGUUUGAUGAUUUUAAGGAUUUAGUUUGAUGAUUUUAAGGAAUUGGUUUGAGUUAGGUGAAAGAGUGAGGGUGAGGUGUUCGAUUCCUCAUAUGUUAGUGUUUGUGAGGAUUGUACGUAAAGCAAGAUUGAGGAUUUUAAGAUUCCCCAGAUUCCGUAGAAGAUUAGAUUAGAUGUUGAUGAUGAUUUGGCUAAUUUCAUCUUUUCAACAAAAAAAUAAUUAAAAAUUUAACGAAGAAGUAAUACGUUGAACAAUAUUUCAUAAUUUAUUUCGAUUUUGAGUUUUAAAUUUAUUUUAUCCGAUGCAUGAUUUUUGAAAAAUUACUUUUUUACUGAAAUAAUUUGAAUAUUGAAUUGGUUGUUACAUGUGGUUAGAGGGAUAUGGUGGUUACAUAUGUCAUCGUCA